Molecule: ribosomal RNA, 403 nt
Filed under: uncultured bacterium
Lineage: Bacteria
Description: partial 16S ribosomal RNA
Rfam family: Bacterial small subunit ribosomal RNA
Source: RNAcentral
AUUGAACGCUGGCGGCAUGCCUAAUACAUGCAAGUCGAGCGAGCGGCGGACGGGUGAGUAAUGUAUGGGGACCUGCCGAUUGAGGGGGAUAACCACUGGAAAACGUUACUAAAACCCCAUACUAUCUGAUGUGCCAUAUGGGUGUAGCUAGUAGGUGAGGUAAUGGCUCACCUAGGCGACGAUCCCUAGAUGGUCUGAGAGGAUGAUCAGCCACACUGGGACUGAGACACGGCCCAGACUCCUACGGAGGCAGCAGUGGGGAAUAUUGCACAAUGGGCGCAAGCCUGAUGCAGCCAUGCCGCGUGUAUGAAGAAGGCCCUAGGGUUGUAAAGUACUUUCAGUCGGGAUGCGUUACCGACAGAAGAAGCACCGGCUAACUCCGUGCCAGCAGCCGCGGUAAUUC